This 890-nucleotide ribosomal RNA is filed under the name uncultured bacterium. RNAcentral describes it as "bacterial SSU rRNA". It matches the Rfam family "Bacterial small subunit ribosomal RNA", at positions 8 to 916 of the family's 1533-position model. The record is from RNAcentral.
AGAGUUUGAUCCUGGCUCAGGACGAACGCUGGCGGCGUGCCUAACACAUGCAAGUCGAGCGAUGAAAUCCCUUCGGGGAUGGAUUAGCGGCGGACGGGUGAGUAACACGUGGGUAACCUGCCUCAAAGAGGGGGAUAGCCUCCCGAAAGGGAGAUUAAUACCGCAUAACAUUAGUUUUUCGCAUGGAGAACUAAUUAAAGGAGUAAUCCGCUUUGAGAUGGACCCGCGGCGCAUUAGCUAGUUGGUGAGGUAAAGGCUCACCAAGGCGACGAUGCGUAGCCGACCUGAGAGGGUGAUCGGCCACAUUGGAACUGAGACACGGUCCAGACUCCUACGGGAGGCAGCAGUGGGGAAUAUUGCACAAUGGGCGAAAGCCUGAUGCAGCAACGCCGCGUGAGUGAUGAAGGCCUUCGGGUUGUAAAGCUCUGUCUUUGGGGACGAUAAUGACGGUACCCAAGGAGGAAGCCACGGCUAACUACGUGCCAGCAGCCGCGGUAAUACGUAGGUGGCAAGCGUUGUCCGGAUUUACUGGGCGUAAAGGAUGCGUAGGCGGAUAUUUAAGUGAGAUGUGAAAUUCCCGGGCUUAACUUGGGGGCUGCAUUUCAAACUGGAUAUCUAGAGUGUGGGAGAGGAGAAUGGAAUUCCUAGUGUAGCGGUGAAAUGCGUAGAGAUUAGGAAGAACACCAGUGGCGAAGGCGAUUCUCUGGACCAUAACUGACGCUGAGGCAUGAAAGCGUGGGUAGCAAACAGGAUUAGAUACCCUGGUAGUCCACGCCGUAAACGAUGAGUACUAGGUGUAGGGGGGUCCAACCCUCUGUGCCGCAGUUAACACAAUAAGUACUCCGCCCGGGAAGUACGAUCGCAAGAUUAAAACUCAAAGGAAUUGACGG